AGUGAACGCUGGCGGUAGGCCUAACACAUGCAAGUCGAACGGCAGCACAGUAAGAGCUUGCUCUUACGGGUGGCGAGUGGCGGACGGGUGAGGAAUACAUCGGAAUCUACUUUUUCGUGGGGGAUAACGUAGGUAAACUUACGCUAAUACCGCAUACGACCUACGGGUGAAAGCAGUGGAUCUUCGGACCUUGCGCGAUUGAAUGAGCCGAUGUCGGAUUAGCUAGUUGGCGGGGUAAAGGCCCACCAAGGCGACGAUCCGUAGCUGGUCUGAGAGGAUGAUCAGCCACACUGGAACUGAGACACGGUCCAGAGUCCUACGGGAGGCAGCAGUGGGGAAUAUUGGACAAUGGGCGAAAGCCUGAUCCAGCCAUACCGCGUGGGUGAAGAAGGCCUUCGGGUUGUAAAGCCCUUUUGUUGGGAAAGAAAAGAAGCAGGCUAAUACCCCGCUGUUCUGACGGUACCGAAAGAAUAAGCACCGGCUAACUUCGCG
This 492-nucleotide ribosomal RNA is filed under the name uncultured bacterium. RNAcentral describes it as "partial 16S ribosomal RNA". It matches the Rfam family "Bacterial small subunit ribosomal RNA", at positions 29 to 507 of the family's 1533-position model. The record is from RNAcentral.